RNAcentral lists this unclassified non-coding RNA (329 nucleotides) under soil metagenome. Its description in RNAcentral is "partial contains 5.8S ribosomal RNA, internal transcribed spacer 2, and large subunit ribosomal RNA". The stretch from base 1 to 120 matches the Rfam family "5.8S ribosomal RNA", at positions 35 to 154 of the family's 154-position model. The record is from RNAcentral.
GAUGAAGAACGUAGCGAAAUGCGAUAAGUAAUGUGAAUUGCAGAAUUCAGUGAAUCAUCGAAUCUUUGAACGCACAUUGCGCCCCCUGGUAUUCCGGGGGGCAUGCCUGUCCGAGCGUCAUUACAACCCUCAAGCUCAGCUUGGUGUUGGGCCCCGCCGCCCCGGCGGGCCCUAAAGUCAGUGGCGGUGCCGUCCGGCUCCGAGCGUAGUAAUUCUUCUCGCUCUGGAGGUCCGGUCGUGUGCUCGCCAGCAACCCCCAAUUUUUUUCAGGUUGACCUCGGAUCAGGUAGGGAUACCCGCUGAUCUUAAGCAUAUCAAUAAGCGGAGGA